RNAcentral lists this long non-coding RNA (257 nucleotides) under Lathyrus oleraceus (garden pea). Its description in RNAcentral is "Pisum sativum (pea) long non-coding RNA (PSAT_LNC010788)". Lineage: Eukaryota; Viridiplantae; Streptophyta; Magnoliopsida; Fabales; Fabaceae. The record is from RNAcentral.
AGAAUCAGAGGUUCCUGCAACUUAUUCUUUUAUCUUUCAAUGCCCCUUGGCAAUCAUUAUCCACCUGACCGUUUGAUCUCUUUUUGUUUUCGGUUCAGGCAUUUCUUGCAUUGCUUUUUCUUUUCUUUUUUUUUCCUUCUUUUUUUUUUGUUUUUUUUUGUUUUUUGUUGUUUUUUUAGCAGGAUCGACCUCGAUUCCUCUUUCGUUCACAAUAAGCCUCGGCAACUUACCGGACAGCACUCCACAAGUGCACUGAU